GGCGUAGCUCAAUCGGUAGAGCAGCUGACUUGUAAUCAGCAGGUUGUGGGUUCAAUUCCUAUCGCC
This 66-nucleotide transfer RNA is filed under the name Veillonella seminalis. It matches the Rfam family "tRNA". From Rfam's summary of the family: Transfer RNA (tRNA) molecules are approximately 80 nucleotides in length. Their secondary structure includes four short double-helical elements and three loops (D, anti-codon, and T loops). The record is from RNAcentral. RNAcentral also lists the same sequence under 3 other names. Lineage: Bacteria; Bacillati; Bacillota; Negativicutes; Veillonellales; Veillonellaceae.